GUAGGCGGCAAGCGUUGUCCGGAAUUAUUGGGCGUAAAGCGCGCGCAGGCGGUUCUUUAAGUCUGAUGUGAAAGCCCACGGCUCAACCGUGGAGGGUCAUUGGAAACUGGAGAACUUGAGUACAGAAGAGGAAAGCGGAAUUCCACGUGUAGCGGUGAAAUGCGUAGAGAUGUGGAGGAACACCAGUGGCGAAGGCGGCUUUCUGGUCUGUAACUGACGCUGAGGCGCGAAAGCGUGGGGGAGCAAACAGGAUUAGAUACCCUGGUAGUCCACGCCGUAAACGAUGAGUGCUAAGUGUUAGGGGGUUUCCGCCCCUUAGUGCUGCAGCUAACGCAUUAAGCACUCCCGCCUGGGAGUACGGCCGCAAGGCUG
Molecule: ribosomal RNA, 372 nt
Filed under: uncultured organism
Description: partial 16S ribosomal RNA
Rfam family: Bacterial small subunit ribosomal RNA
Source: RNAcentral